UCCUCGUUAGUAUAGUGGUCAGUAUCCCCGCCUGUCACGCGGGAGACCGGGGUUUGAUUCCCUGACGGGGAG
Molecule: transfer RNA, 72 nt
Filed under: Dermacentor silvarum
Lineage: Eukaryota; Metazoa; Arthropoda; Arachnida; Ixodida; Ixodidae
Description: transfer RNA aspartic acid (anticodon GUC)
Rfam family: tRNA
About the family: Transfer RNA (tRNA) molecules are approximately 80 nucleotides in length. Their secondary structure includes four short double-helical elements and three loops (D, anti-codon, and T loops).
Source: RNAcentral